AGUGAUCGCUGGCGGCGUGCUUAACACAUGCAAGUCGAGCGAAUUUCUGCAGCACAUCGCAGAAGUUAGCGGCAGACGGGUGAGUAAUAUUUGGGCAAUCCACCCUCGAGAGGGAACUAACCGGCCGAAAGGCUGGCUAAUGUCCCAUAAGACCACGGAACGGCAUCGUUUCGAGGUCAAAGCUCCGCAAGGGGCACUUGAGGACGAGCCCGAAUCCUAUCAGCUAGUUGGUGAGGUAACGGCUCACCAAGGCUUCGACGGGUAGCCGGCCUGAAAG
This 277-nucleotide ribosomal RNA is filed under the name uncultured bacterium. Its description in RNAcentral is "partial 16S ribosomal RNA". It matches the Rfam family "Bacterial small subunit ribosomal RNA", at positions 29 to 298 of the family's 1533-position model. The record is from RNAcentral.